UUACAGAAUAAGCGGACCCAGUAGCAAUAAGAAGUGCAGUUGGCGAUUGUCACAAUUUAUACCCUUAUCUGGAUAAACUUGUUUAUCCAUAAUAUGAAUAAUUUAAUUCGACUGAAUGAACAGUCACAGACUUGUGAUGUUCUAUUUUAAGCAUACUGUGGUCUUGUUGAGAAAAUCAUGCAAAUAUGUUAAUGUGGAGAUUUGCUCACCAGGUCAGAAAGACAUCACUUCUUUACCCCCCGGAACGAUUGGAUGGACUACUUUCCCGUUUGGUCGAUAUUGGAGAUUUUAGGCCAUGUUCUUGUAAGUUGUGAAACUCGAAGACCACGAAUAUAUCAUGAAUAAUUAAA
This is a long non-coding RNA of Plodia interpunctella (Indianmeal moth), 350 nucleotides long. RefSeq lists it as uncharacterized. The transcript is spliced from 3 exons. Lineage: Eukaryota; Metazoa; Arthropoda; Insecta; Lepidoptera; Pyralidae. The record is from RefSeq and is a predicted model, not a curated record.